Molecule: small nuclear RNA, 102 nt
Organism: Nomascus leucogenys (northern white-cheeked gibbon)
Lineage: Eukaryota; Metazoa; Chordata; Mammalia; Primates; Hylobatidae
Source: Rfam
AUUUUUUCCCAGAGUUAAAAGAAUUUCACGUAUUAAUAGAGAAGAUUAGCAUGGCCCCUGCGCAAGGAAGCUCCAAUGUGGUGGAAUUCGUAUUCCAUAUUU